This 71-nucleotide transfer RNA is filed under the name Marmota monax (woodchuck). RNAcentral's name for it is "tRNA.Thr". It matches the Rfam family "tRNA". From Rfam's summary of the family: Transfer RNA (tRNA) molecules are approximately 80 nucleotides in length. Their secondary structure includes four short double-helical elements and three loops (D, anti-codon, and T loops). Lineage: Eukaryota; Metazoa; Chordata; Mammalia; Rodentia; Sciuridae. The record is from RNAcentral.
GGGGUUGUGGCUCAGUGGUAGAGCACUCACCUAGUGUAUGUGAGGUGCUGGGUUCCAUCCUCAGCACCACA